UGCUUUAUAAGGCAGCUCUCGUUUGAAAAUCUUGUCUGAAGGCUUUUUAAUUUUUCUCAUCUUGUCCUAUUGAAAAACGACUGAAACAUGAACUAUUUUUCAUCUGAUGAAGUAGAGAACCCAUCACAAUAUUGGUAAGUUUGUGUGAGUGCUUCCUCUGCGAAUGACAGUGAAGCAACUGAUUAUUAAUUAUAUAACUGUACGACCAAUAAUUUCUAUUAUAAUACCAAGCUUGCACACUAAAAACUCGGCUCGCCGUCACACGAUCCCUAUGAAAUUGCUGUGGCACUUAGCGGGGGGGGGGGGGGGGGGGGGGGGGGGGGGGGGGGGGGGGGGGGGGGGGGCGGACAUGCCGACAAUGUUUGGGAAGUCUUGGCAUUCCAUAGUACCACUUGCAUUUUGCACAAUGCGUAUUUUUGUCAUUCCUCGUGUACGGUCUGUCAUCUGCUACCAGCUAUGUUGUACUGCUAUCCCGUGCAUGUGCACGGGUAUCGCUAGUUAUUAUUUUUCUUUUCCUAACAGCUUAUCCCCAUUGUUGAUCACCGAUGUGGAGAACGAAUUAUAUGAAUUACAUCACGAAUGGGAAAAAAUAAACGACUUUCUUGAAGAGAUUCGAAUUUUCAGAGGAGAAAUGAGAGAUACGAUUACCGACUGGGAAGCAUCACUGUCAUGUCCUCUAAUCUUGAAAGACCCGACUUCAAGGUUUCAGGUCAAGUCAAGUGUGGGAGCAUGUGCCAGAGCAGCACGUCGUUAUGAUAUCCACUCCACCGGUACUCCUGAGGUCUCCAUCAUGCUAUCCCAAAGGCAGAUGCUUGGCCCAUUCCCAUCUCCUUAAGAUGCUGGUCAACCUGCUGCAACCACGGGGAACAUGGUCGGCCCAUUGGCCUCCUCCAGUCACGAGGCUCCCUCGCUGAGAGAAUCUGGUGAGGAGGAUCAACAUCAAGAAAAUGAACCACAUGUCCAUACUGAUGCUCUUGGACUAUGCAGGUAAGAAAUCUCA
RNAcentral lists this long non-coding RNA (1000 nucleotides) under Eptatretus burgeri (inshore hagfish). RNAcentral's name for it is "lncRNA (ENSEBUG00000017196.1)". The record is from RNAcentral. Lineage: Eukaryota; Metazoa; Chordata; Myxini; Myxiniformes; Myxinidae.